RNAcentral lists this non-coding RNA (488 nucleotides) under Pongo abelii (Sumatran orangutan). The record is from RNAcentral. Lineage: Eukaryota; Metazoa; Chordata; Mammalia; Primates; Hominidae.
AGGAAAUCCAAUCUCUCCCACUCCAGCCCGCCUACUCAUUGAACAUGGCUGCUAUCUCUGUCUUCUGGAAACAUGGCUCCAAUCCUGCAAUAACUCUACACAAGAGCUCCCAGUGAAAGCUUUCACUAGACCUUGAUGGCACUAUGGUCAUUAUCCUGUCAAAACUGUGGUGGAUUUGAAGAGCUAGUGAUGAAGAAUGGAGGUUUCCUGUCCUAGAAAUAACCAAAGGCCCAGGCUUGGAGGUGGCAGAAAAAGUGGCACUUAAGUUACUAGCCCAGUAUUUGGAAUUUGCCAAAGCUAUAUUCCUCAGAAUUUACUUCAAGAGCUCCUUUGUAUCAGCAGAGGAUGAAGAACGGAGAAGAAGAGGAGGAGGAUGAAAGAAACGUAAGAGAUGUGGCAACUAAUUGCAAUGUGUAGAUUGUAUUUAGCUCAUGAUUCAAACAAACUAGAUAUUUGUUAUUAAAGAAUUAUGGUUGUUUUUGGUGUGA